Molecule: unclassified non-coding RNA, 151 nt
Filed under: uncultured Chaetosphaeria
Lineage: Eukaryota; Fungi; Ascomycota; Sordariomycetes; Chaetosphaeriales; Chaetosphaeriaceae
Description: sequence contains ITS2
Source: RNAcentral
CAACCCUCAGGCCCUGCCUGGCGUUGGAGGACUGCGCACUGCAGCCUCCCAAAGCAAGCGGCGGCGGCGCCCCAAAACCGAACGCAGUAGUUACUUCUCGUUCUGGGUGUGGGACGUUGUCCAGACCGGAAAACCCCCUUUUUUUCAAUGG